Molecule: ribosomal RNA, 106 nt
Filed under: Heterocapsa rotundata
Lineage: Eukaryota; Dinophyceae; Peridiniales; Heterocapsaceae
Description: partial Eukaryotic small subunit ribosomal RNA
Source: RNAcentral
GUCUUAACCAUGAGCCGUGCCGACUGGAGAUUGGAGGUCGUCAUAUCCAUUCGACUCCUUCGGCGCGCUAUGAGAACUCGAAGUCUCUGGGCUCCGGGGGAGAGUG